GAUGAACGCUGGCGGCGUGCCUAAUACAUGCAAGUCGAGCGAACAGACGAGGAGCUUGCCCCUUCGACGUUAGCGGCGGACGGGUGAGUAACACGUAGGUAACCUACCUAUAAGACUGGGAUAACUUCGGGAAACCGGAGCUAAUACCGGAUAAUAUUUCGAACCGCAUGGUUCGAUAGUGAAAGAUGGCUUUGCUAUCACUUAUAGAUGGACCUGCGCCGUAUUAGCUAGUUGGUAAGGUAACGGCUUACCAAGGCAACGAUACGUAGCCGACCUGAGAGGGUGAUCGGCCACACUGGAACUGAGACACGGUCCAGACUCCUACGGGGGGCAGCAGUAGGGAAUCUUCCGCAAUGGGCGAAAGCCUGACGGAGCAACGCCGCGUGAGUGAUGAAGGUCUUCGGAUCGUAAAACUCUGUUAUUAGGGAAGAACAAACGUGUAAGUAACUGUGCACGUCUUGACGGUACCUAAUCAGAAAGCCACGGCUAACUACGUG
Molecule: ribosomal RNA, 497 nt
Filed under: uncultured bacterium
Lineage: Bacteria
Description: partial 16S ribosomal RNA
Rfam family: Bacterial small subunit ribosomal RNA
Source: RNAcentral